UGAACUUAAGCCCCAGUAAACGGCGGCCGUAACUAUAACGGUCCUAAGGUAGCGAAAUUCCUUGUCGGGUAAGUUCCGACCCGCACGAAAGGCGUAACGAUUUGGGCACUGUCUCAACAACAGACUCGGUGAAAUUGUAAUUCCGGUGAAGAUGCCGGAUACCUGCGACAGGACGGAAAGACCCCAUGGAGCUUUACUGUAGCUUGACAUUGGGUCUUGGUACUACAUGUACAGGAUAGGUGGGAGGCUUUGAAACCAGGACGCCAGUUUUGGCGGAGCCAUCCUUGGGAUACCACCCUUGUAGUACUGGGACUCUAACCAUAGGCCAUGAAUCUGGUCUUGGGACACUGUCAGGUGGGCAGUUUGACUGGGGCGGUCGCCUCCCAAAAGGUAACGGAGGCGCUCAAAGGUUCUCUCAGUACGGUCGGAAAUCGUACGCAGAGUGUAAAGGCAAAAGAGAGCUUGAUUGCAAGACAUACAGGUCGAGCAAGGAUGAAAAUCGGACUUAGUGAUCCGGUGGUUCUGCGUGGAAGGGCCAUCGCUCAACGGAUAAAAGCUACCCUGGGGAUAACAGGCUUAUCUCCCCCAAGAGUCCACAUCGACGGGGAGGUUUGGCACCUCGAUGUCGGCUCAUCACAUCCUGGGGCUGUAGUAGGUCCCAAGGGUUGGGCUGUUCGCCCAUUAAAGUGGUACGCGAGCUGGGUUCAGAACGUCGUGAGACAGUUCGGUCCCUAUCCGUCGCAGGCGUAGGAAAUUUGAGAAGACCUGUCCUUAGUACGAGAGGACCGGGAUGGACGUACCUCUGGUGUACCAGUUGUUCUGCCAAGGGCAUGGCUGGGUAGCUAUGUACGGAAUGGAUAAGCGCUGAAAGCAUCUAAGCGCGAAGCC
RNAcentral lists this ribosomal RNA (888 nucleotides) under Clostridioides difficile. Its description in RNAcentral is "partial 23S ribosomal RNA". It matches the Rfam family "Bacterial large subunit ribosomal RNA", at positions 1908 to 2794 of the family's 2925-position model. Lineage: Bacteria; Bacillati; Bacillota; Clostridia; Peptostreptococcales; Peptostreptococcaceae. The record is from RNAcentral.